UAUGAUCUGAAGUCAGGUGGGAUUAACCCGCAAAUU
This 36-nucleotide ribosomal RNA is filed under the name Rhizopus arrhizus. Its description in RNAcentral is "Rhizopus oryzae partial 28S large subunit ribosomal RNA". The record is from RNAcentral. Lineage: Eukaryota; Fungi; Mucoromycota; Mucoromycetes; Mucorales; Rhizopodaceae.